This 492-nucleotide ribosomal RNA is filed under the name uncultured bacterium. RNAcentral describes it as "partial 16S ribosomal RNA". It matches the Rfam family "Bacterial small subunit ribosomal RNA", at positions 28 to 507 of the family's 1533-position model. The record is from RNAcentral.
GAUGAACGCUAGCUACAGGCUUAACACAUGCAAGUCGAGGGGAAACGACAUCGAAAGCUUGCUUUUGAUGGGCGUCGACCGGCGCACGGGGGAGUAACGCGUAUCCAACCUGCCCACCACUUGGGGAUAACCUUGCGAAAGUAAGACUAAUACCCAAUGAUAUCUCUAGAAGACAUCUGAAAGAGAUUAAAGAUUUAUCGGGGAUGGAGGGGGAUGCGUCUGAUUAGCUUGUUGGCGGGGUAACGGCCCACCAAGGCAACGAUCAGUAGGGGUUCUGAGAGGAAGGUCCCCCACAUUGGAACUGAGACACGGUCCAAACUCCUACGGGAGGCAGCAGUGAGGAAUAUUGGUCAAUGGACGAGAGUCUGAACCAGCCAAGUAGCGUGCAGGAAGACGGCCCUAUGGGUUGUAAACUGCUUUUAUAAGGGAAUAAAGUGAGUCUCGUGAGACUUUUUGCAUGUACCUUAUGAAUAAGGACCGGCUAAUUCCGUG